RNAcentral lists this transfer RNA (77 nucleotides) under Candidatus Gallacutalibacter pullistercoris. RNAcentral's name for it is "tRNA-Glu". It matches the Rfam family "tRNA". Rfam says of the family: Transfer RNA (tRNA) molecules are approximately 80 nucleotides in length. Their secondary structure includes four short double-helical elements and three loops (D, anti-codon, and T loops). Further hydrogen bonds mediate the characteristic L-shaped molecular structure. tRNAs have two regions of fundamental functional importance: the anti-codon, which is responsible for specific mRNA codon recognition, and the 3' end, to which the tRNAs corresponding amino acid is attached (by aminoacyl-tRNA synthetases). tRNAs cope with the degeneracy of the genetic code in two manners: having more than one tRNA (with a specific anti-codon) for a particular amino acid; and 'wobble' base-pairing, i.e. permitting non-standard base-pairing at the 3rd anti-codon position. The record is from RNAcentral. Lineage: Bacteria; Bacillati; Bacillota; Clostridia; Eubacteriales.
GGCCCCUUGGUCAAACCGGUCAAGACGCCGGCCUCUCAAGCCGGAAAUGUUGAGUUCAAAUCUCACAGGGGUCACCA